Long non-coding RNA from Strongylocentrotus purpuratus (purple sea urchin), 452 nucleotides. RefSeq lists it as uncharacterized. NCBI's taxonomy places the organism in Eukaryota, Metazoa, Echinodermata, Echinoidea, Camarodonta, Strongylocentrotidae. The transcript is spliced from 3 exons. The record is from RefSeq and is a predicted model, not a curated record.
GCAGACGACCGUACAAAUUUUGUUGACAAAUUUGUGGUGAAACAAAGUGAAGAGACCUUCACAAAGUUGCUGUUUUUUCAACUUUGAUAGCCUACAUUAGACAGCAUGGCUGAAUAUAUUCACCAUCUCCGCCAGCUUGAUCGGAACAGAGAGUUGAUAGGCAGACCUCAGAGAGGCCUUCGUGACCCAUGAACCCUUUUGAAGUGUAUGAUGAUAAGUCAUUUCGGACCAGGUACUGGUUUUCCAAAGAGACAGCGCUCUACCUCAUCAACUUGGUGGAUGAAGAGCUGAGGAGGACGACAGACAGAAACGACCCAAUACCUAUACAGGUAGUGACAGCACGUCGAUUCUAUGCUUUUGGGUCAUUCCAAAAGAUGCAUGGUGAUGAGGCACAACUUUCACAGUCUUCUGUAUGCAGAGUCAUCAAAGACGUGUCAGAAGCAUUUGAAAGA